UCCCGACACGGGGAGGUAGUGACGAAAAAUAACAAUACAGGACUCACAUGAGGCCCUGUAAUUGGAAUGAGUACAUUCUAAAACUCUUAACGAGUAUCCAUUGGAGGGCAAGUCUGGUGCCAGCAGCCGCGGUAAUUCCAGCUCCAAUAGUGUAUGCUAAAGUUGUUGCGGUUGAAAAGCUCGUAGUUGGAUUUUGGGCGGGCGCGGCCGGUCCGUCGCAGGGCGUGUUACUGGCCGCGUCUGCCUCACCUUCGGUUCUCUGUCGGUGCUCUUGACUGAGUGUCGGCGGUGUCCGAUAAGUUUACUUUGAAAAAAUUAGAGUGUUCAAAGCAGGCUGCUYGCCUGAAUAGUGUUGCAUGGAAUAAUGGAAUAGGACCUCGGUUCUAUUUUGCUGGUUUUCGGAGCACGAGGUAAUGAUUAAGAGGGACAGACGGGGGCGUCCGUACUCUGCCGUUAGAGGUGAAAUUCUUGGAUCGGCGGAAGACGAACUACUGCGAAAGCAUUCGCCAAGAAUGUUUUCUUUAAUCAAGAGCGAAAGUCAGAGGUUCGAAGACGAUCAGAUACCGUCCUAGUUCUGACUAUAAACGAUGCCAACUAGCGAUCGGGAGGCGUUACCAUGACGACCUUCCCGGCAGCUUCCGGGAAACCAAAGUCUUUGGGUUCCGGGGGAAGUAUGGUUGCAAAGCUGAAACUUAAAGGAAUUGACGGAAGGGCACCACCAGGAGUGGAGCCUGCGGCUUAAUUUGACUCAACACGGGGAAACUCACCCGGCCCGGACACAGGUAGGAUGACAGAUGAGAGCUCUCC
This 807-nucleotide ribosomal RNA is filed under the name Asterocarpa humilis. RNAcentral's name for it is "SSU rRNA". It matches the Rfam family "Eukaryotic small subunit ribosomal RNA", at positions 451 to 1271 of the family's 1831-position model. Lineage: Eukaryota; Metazoa; Chordata; Ascidiacea; Stolidobranchia; Styelidae. The record is from RNAcentral.